CACACCCAUGUGUGACUCCUCUGCUCCGUCCUCUUCCACCACUUGGAGUCCUGCAUUACAGACAGUGGAGCCACAGGGUGGAAAGUGCCCUGAAUACUGCUUGGAGAAGCCCCAGCUGCAGGUUAGAAACAUCCAUUUUGACUCUGCUGAGUGUGUUCUAGGAAGGCCUUUUACUACCUACAACCCGCAAUGUGUGCUGGCUUUCCUUGGUGAACUGGAUGUGUGUACACUCUUCUCUGCAUGUGCUCAAAUGAGUCCUUUUGAGAAUGGUUCCUGGACUCUGCACAAAAAGAGGAACAUGUUCGUCUGGCUUCGAGUGAGCUGGCCAGGAGGUUAAACGCAAGGGAGAAUGCCCUAGCCUUAGCUAUUAAAAAGAGCAUAUGAAAAGAGAGACAGAGGAUGUCUAAGCAACCAUUAAAACCACCAUCCCUCACCAUAUUUCAAAUUCCAGAUUGGUGGUGUUGACAUCUGGGUCCUCAAAAGCACAGGUCAGUG
This is a long non-coding RNA of Symphalangus syndactylus (siamang), 495 nucleotides long. RefSeq lists it as uncharacterized. NCBI's taxonomy places the organism in Eukaryota, Metazoa, Chordata, Mammalia, Primates, Hylobatidae. The record is from RefSeq and is a predicted model, not a curated record.